UCAUGGCUCAGAUUGAACGCUGGCGGCAGGCCUAACACAUGCAAGUCGAGCGGAAACGACACUAACAAUCCUUCGGGUGCGUUAAUGGGCGUCGAGCGGCGGACGGGUGAGUAAUGCCUAGGAAAUUGCCUUGAUGUGGGGGAUAACCAUUGGAAACGAUGGCUAAUACCGCAUAAUGCCUACGGGCCAAAGAGGGGGACCUUCGGGCCUCUCGCGUCAAGAUAUGCCUAGGUGGGAUUAGCUAGUUGGUGAGGUAAUGGCUCACCAAGGCGACGAUCCCUAGCUGGUCUGAGAGGAUGAUCAGCCACACUGGAACUGAGACACGGUCCAGACUCCUACGGGAGGCAGCAGUGGGGAAUAUUGCACAAUGGGCGAAAGCCUGAUGCAGCCAUGCCGCGUGUAUGAAGAAGGCCUUCGGGUUGUAAAGUACUUUCAGUUGUGAGGAAGGGGG
This 451-nucleotide ribosomal RNA is filed under the name Vibrio sp. VibP-Oc-094. RNAcentral describes it as "bacterial SSU rRNA". It matches the Rfam family "Bacterial small subunit ribosomal RNA", at positions 17 to 454 of the family's 1533-position model. Lineage: Bacteria; Pseudomonadati; Pseudomonadota; Gammaproteobacteria; Vibrionales; Vibrionaceae. The record is from RNAcentral.